UUGUUAGUUGUCCAUCAUUCAGUUCGGGCACUCUAGCGAGACUGCCGGUAAGUAAAACCGGAGGAAGGUGGGGAUGACGUCAAAUCAUCAUGCCCCUUAUGACCUGGGCUACACACGUGCUACAAUGGUUGGUACAACGAGUUGCGAGUCGGUGACGGCGAGCUAAUCUCUUAAAGCCAAUCUCAGUUCGGAUUGUAGGCUGCAACUCGCCUACAUGAAGUCGGAAUCGCUAGUAAUCGCGGAUCAGCACGCCGCGGUGAAUACGUUCCCGGGCCUU
This 277-nucleotide ribosomal RNA is filed under the name uncultured Streptococcus sp. RNAcentral describes it as "partial 16S ribosomal RNA". It matches the Rfam family "Bacterial small subunit ribosomal RNA", at positions 1108 to 1382 of the family's 1533-position model. Lineage: Bacteria; Bacillati; Bacillota; Bacilli; Lactobacillales; Streptococcaceae. The record is from RNAcentral.